RNAcentral lists this ribosomal RNA (202 nucleotides) under uncultured bacterium. Its description in RNAcentral is "partial 16S ribosomal RNA". It matches the Rfam family "Bacterial small subunit ribosomal RNA", at positions 524 to 724 of the family's 1533-position model. The record is from RNAcentral.
UACGUAGGUGGCAAGCGUUGUCCGGAAUUACUGGGUGUAAAGCGCGUGUAGGCGGCAGACCAAGUCGGCGGUGAAAGCGCCCGGCUCAACUGGGCGAGGUCCGUGGAAACUGGUCAGCUGGAGGACGGUAGAGGCGAGUGGAAUUCCCGGUGUAGUGGUGAAAUGCGUAGAGAUCGGGAGGAACGACCUGUGGCGAAGGCGG